UACGUAGGGGGCAAGCGUUGUCCGGAUUUAUUGGGCGUAAAGAGCGUGUAGGCGGCUUUACAGGUCCGUUGUGAAAACUCGAGGCUCAACCUCGAGACGCCGGUGGAAACCGUAAGGCUAGAGUCCGGAAGAGGAGAGUGGAAUUCCUGGUGUAGCGGUGAAAUGCGCAGAUAUCAGGAAGAACACCCGUGGCGAAGGCGGCUCUCUGGAACGCAACUGACGCUGAGACGCGAAAGCGUGGGGAGCAAACAGG
RNAcentral lists this ribosomal RNA (253 nucleotides) under uncultured bacterium. RNAcentral's name for it is "partial 16S ribosomal RNA". It matches the Rfam family "Bacterial small subunit ribosomal RNA", at positions 524 to 776 of the family's 1533-position model. The record is from RNAcentral.